UUCUUAGAUUCAUAUUUGCUCUCUUAUUAUGGGUUUGAUCUUGCUAAUCCUAUUCUAAAGACCAAAACCAACAAGUAAUUGAUGAUGACACUGGAAGGAAUGGCCCUAAAAUUGCUACCAUAUUCAUUCCCAAUUCUAAGAACCGCUGCCAACUGCACCCCUCACACCUUUCAACGAUUUCUCGUCUCGACUUCUAUUGUUGCAGCUCCACCCACAUCCCUUUCACUCGGUCACUCGACCCGACCUGAUUUCCCUAUCCUUCACCGGGUCUCUCUACUUUUAACCACCCAUUAUUUUCCUAUAAUUCCUCACUUAAGAGUACUCACAUUUAUUACAUGACAUGAAGUAAAUGGCUCUAAACUUGUUUACUUGGACAAUGCUGCAACUUCCUAGAAGCCUAUCGCUGUGUUAAAGGCUUUGCAAGAUUACUAUGAAAGUAUGAAGGUUACAAUUCAAACGUGCAUCGCGGGAUUCAUUACUUAAGUUCAAAGGCAACAAUGCAAUAUGAAUUGGCGAGAAAGAAGAUUUCAGAAUUUAUCAAUGCAUCAGAUGCUCGAGAAAUUGUUUUUACUAGGAAUGCUACUGAAGCUAUCAAUCUGGUUGCGCACUCGUGGGGACUCCAAAAUAUAAAAUCAAAUGAUGAGAUCUUACUCACAGUUGCCGAACAUCACAAUGCGAUUGUUCCCUGGCAACUUGUAGCUCAAAAGACCGGUGCCAUUUUGAAAUUCGUGGACCUAAAUGAAGAUAGAGUUCCAGAUGUGGAAAAGUUAAAAGAUAUGCUUUCAAGAAAGACAAAAUUUGUAGUUGUUCAUCAUGUCUCAAAUGUGCUAGGUCUGGAUCUAUUUCUCAAGUGAUUAUGGUUUCCUUUCUUUCUUCAAGCUUUGUAGAAGGGAACCCAAGAUAGGCGCGACAAUGACCUACCAACUCCCCUAAAACAUUUUGGUUAUAAUUUAUAAAACUUUCUUUCUUGUAUAUGAGUGCUCUAUUAACAUAUGA
Rosa chinensis is the source of this 996-nucleotide long non-coding RNA. RefSeq lists it as uncharacterized. Lineage: Eukaryota; Viridiplantae; Streptophyta; Magnoliopsida; Rosales; Rosaceae. The record is from RefSeq and is a predicted model, not a curated record. The transcript has 3 exons.